RNAcentral lists this microRNA (23 nucleotides) under Strongyloides ratti. Its description in RNAcentral is "str-miR-252a-5p". Its record names the gene str-miR-252a-5p. Lineage: Eukaryota; Metazoa; Nematoda; Chromadorea; Rhabditida; Strongyloididae. The record is from miRBase by way of RNAcentral.
UUAAGUAGUUGUGCCGUAGGUCG